UGCCACCAAUUUUCAAACACAAAAGAAGCUAGGCUGUAAAACCCAUAAUUGGAUCUGAAUGAAGGCACAAAGACGCCGUCGCUAAAUAACAGAGAGAAUGAAAACACAAAAGGCAAUUGCUUGGGCGUUUGUCAUCACCCUGAUAUCUGUGGCUACACAUUGUACCUGGACAACACGAGUGUUGACCAGAAACUGGGGUCCUCAAUCAAUGAUGUACCUGAAAGGGAAACAUGGAAGAGGAAAUUCAUUGGAAAGAGAGAGAAGACUUUAUGCAUUUGAUUUAAUCAGUUGGAUAAACAAUGUUAACAGUCUGAUAGGUACAGUGUGAUUGUGCCAUGUACACCCCCAUCUCUGAAUGCACAUACAGUAGUUCCACAACAACUAGGAUAAUAAUGAAGGGAGACAGU
This is a long non-coding RNA of Xenopus tropicalis (tropical clawed frog), 407 nucleotides long. RefSeq lists it as uncharacterized. The record is from RefSeq and is a predicted model, not a curated record. The transcript is spliced from 4 exons. Lineage: Eukaryota; Metazoa; Chordata; Amphibia; Anura; Pipidae.